RNAcentral lists this transfer RNA (64 nucleotides) under Howea angulata. RNAcentral describes it as "tRNA-Cys". Lineage: Eukaryota; Metazoa; Arthropoda; Insecta; Coleoptera; Cerambycidae. The record is from RNAcentral.
GGUUUUAUAGUCAAUUAUGACUUCAAAUUGCAAGUUUGAAAGUAAAGUUUAACUUUUGAAACCU